ACGAACGCUGGCGGCGCGCCUAAUACAUGCAAGUCGAGCGUGAAAAGGGGGCAACCCCUGAGUAAAGCGGCGCACGGGUGAGUAACGCGUUGGUUAUCUACCCCCGAGUUCGAGAUAACCCCGGGAAACUGGGGCUAAUACCGGAUGACGCAUAACGGAUGGCUCCGUUAUGUUAAAGAUUUAUCGCUUGGGGAUGAGCCCGCGUCCUAUCAGCUAGUUGGCGGUGUAAUGGACCACCAAGGCUAAGACGGGUAGCUGGUCUGAGAGGAUGAUCAGCCACACUGGGACUGAGACACGGCCCAGACUCCUACGGGAGGCAGCAGUAGGGAAUAUUGCGCAAUGGACGAAAGUCUGACGCAGCGACGCCGCGUGGGUGAAGAAGGUCUUUUGAUUGUAAAGCCCUGUGAGGGGGGACGAAAAAUUUAAAAUUGACGGUACCCCCAGAGGAAGGACCGGCUAAACACGU
This 466-nucleotide ribosomal RNA is filed under the name uncultured bacterium. RNAcentral's name for it is "bacterial SSU rRNA". It matches the Rfam family "Bacterial small subunit ribosomal RNA", at positions 29 to 506 of the family's 1533-position model. The record is from RNAcentral.